Molecule: non-coding RNA, 1314 nt
Organism: Pogona vitticeps (central bearded dragon)
Lineage: Eukaryota; Metazoa; Chordata; Lepidosauria; Squamata; Agamidae
Source: RefSeq, a predicted model, not a curated record
AAAUAUAAUUUAAUUUUGUAGGGAGGACAGCCCUACUACUCUGACUGGAAAAGUAAACCAGCUUGAAGUGAUUCUUCGACAAUUGCAAACUGAUCUUCGUAAGGAAAAACAAGACAAAGCUGUUCUCCAGGCUGAAGUCCAGCAUCUGAGGCAGGAUAACAUGAGACUUCAGGAAGAAUCCCAAACAGCAGCUGCUCAACUAAGAAAAUUUACUGAAUGGUUUUUUAAUACGAUAGAUAAGAAGUCCUAAUAUUUGAAAAAGCAUCACUGAAACCACAUAAACACCAGUAAUUUUGAAGUAGCCUAAUAUAAUUUCACUAUAUUCACAGCCCAUUUUAUAUAUACUGCUGUAAUUUCUGUGUAGCCCUGCUCAUUUGAACAAGGCUGUGGACUGUUAGGAAUUAGAUUCAUAUUCAUCUAAAUAAAACAGAAAGAAUGGCAGACAUUUGUUUUUGUGAAAAUGAAUGUACAAAUCCUGGUGUCAUUUUAGACAUUUUAGAGUAUACUUCUGGCUUGAGUUUUCCUGGAGAGGAAUAAGGUGAUUUUUAUUUUCUCUACUUCAGGUGCUCCAGUGCAGAUGGUAAAGCAAUUUAUGGUAGCUUUGAUUUCAAUACUGUAAGAUAAAAAUAAAUAACUAGACAUAUACUUUCAUGUUUAAAGGUGCUCUAUUUUUUGUAUGUACAGUAGAUAUUUCCACAGUCACAUUGUCAUAGCAAUAAUGGAGGUAGAAAUGAAUAGUCACCAAGCUGUCUUUAUAAAAAAUUAGUGCUGAUGAAUUUAACACUAGUUUGGAUGCAGAUAUAUUAGGAUUAUUUAUUUGCAGAAAAAAUGGUGCCUGAAUUUAAACAGUGUUCUGUUUUUUCUAAAGAGACACAUGCCUUGUACAUGGCUCACUUAUCAGUUCACUCCAAUGUCAGUGACUUUGUAUAGUUUGUCUUCAGCUAAGAUGGUUAUAGAGAAACUAACUAUUAAAACCAUAUGUGGUGCGAGCCAGCCAAUCAUUUGUAUAAUGCCAGAUUUGUUUAUCUUUGUACAGGAGCUUUGAGUGAGUGACAUGUAUUUAACACCUUUAUUUAAGCUAUUUAACCUGUUAAUUUUAUAAAGUUUUUGUUUUAUCUGCACUAUGAUGAGGUCAGUGGGUUGCAAGCUACUGUGUGUUUUAGCUUGCCAAAAUGACACUGCAGACUUCUAGAAAAAUCUAAUUAUUGGAUGCUGCUAGGACACAAUUUGUGUUUGUAUGCUUUAACAUUUUUAACAGAUUCAUUUGAAAUGAACAUACAUUUUGCUUUUUUAAAUAAAUGUUAAAAAUAUCAA